Molecule: ribosomal RNA, 447 nt
Filed under: uncultured bacterium
Lineage: Bacteria
Description: bacterial SSU rRNA
Rfam family: Bacterial small subunit ribosomal RNA
Source: RNAcentral
UCCCAGACUCCUACGGGAGGCAGCAGUGGGGAAUAUUGCACAAUGGGGGAAACCCUGAUGCAGCGACGCCGCGUGAGUGAAGAAGUCUUUCGGUAUGUAAAGCUCUAUCAGCAGGGAAGAUAAUGACGGUACCUGACUAAGAAGCCCCGGCUAACUACGUGCCAGCAGCCGCGGUACUACGUAGGGGGCAAGCGUUAUCCGGAUUUACUGGGUGUAAAGGGUGCGUAGGUGGCAUGGCAAGUCAGAAGUGAAAGCCCGGGGCUCAACCCCGCGGACUGCUUUUGAAACUGUCAGGCUGGAGUACAGGAGAGGUAAGCGGAAUUCCUAGUGUAGCGGUGAAAUGCGUAGAUAUUAGGAGGAACACCAGUGGCGAAGGCGGCCUGCUGGGCUUUAACUGACGCUGAGGCUCGAAAGUGUGGGUAGCAAACAGGAUUAGAUACCCUCGUA